Spinacia oleracea (spinach) is the source of this 545-nucleotide long non-coding RNA. RefSeq lists it as uncharacterized. The transcript has 2 exons. Lineage: Eukaryota; Viridiplantae; Streptophyta; Magnoliopsida; Caryophyllales; Amaranthaceae. The record is from RefSeq and is a predicted model, not a curated record.
AUUAGAUACCGUAUAGUAUUCUUAUUAUUCACUCCUUAAUUUGUCUGUCUUUAAUAAGUUCCUUUCUUUUCUAGGUUUUGUUAAUUUUGUCGAUAAUUAAUUACUAGGUUGGUGAUUUUGAGUAUGUGAAUGCUGGUAGUCUGGUAGUACAUUCUGUUUUUCGGAGAGAGCUAUGGCUAUAAUAUCAAUUCCUUAAAAAAAAGAUUGUUCGAUGUGAGAUUUUGGAUCCUUUAACUCUAUCCUCAUGGUACUCCCCUUUCUUUCGGUUACCAGUCUUCCGUUGGUUUCCUUUCUAACCAUUUUUGAAGAUAAAGGUGAAAAUGAGCAUGAGAUGAAGAUUUAAGCAGCCAUGAAAUUCAAGGUCUACAUCAUUUGGAGAGAUAUUUUUUAAUUGGGUUCAUAUAGGAUUAAACAAGAUUUGUCCAUGUACGUACACAAUUUGUAGAAGUAAGUUUUUACAUUUGUGAUAAAUCAUAAUAUAACAAUUUGUAUUUGUUUGUAGAAGAAUUUAGAUGUAAUGUGUUCAUUAUGGUUUUUGUAGGUAA